GACGAACGCUGGCGGCGUGCCUAAUACAUGCAAGUAGAACGCUGAAGCUUGGUGCUUGCACCGAGCGGAUGAGUUGCGAACGGGUGAGUAACGCGUAGGUAACCUGCCUGGUAGCGGGGGAUAACUAUUGGAAACGAUAGCUAAUACCGCAUAAGAGUAGAUGUUGCAUGACAUUUGCUUAAAAGGUGCAAUUGCAUCACUACCAGAUGGACCUGCGUUGUAUUAGCUAGUUGGUGAGGUAACGGCUCACCAAGGCAACGAUACAUAGCCGACCUGAGAGGGUGAUCGGCCACACUGGGACUGAGACACGGCCCAGACUCCUACGGGAGGCAGCAGUAGGGAAUCUUCGGCAAUGGACGGAAGUCUGACCGAGCAACGCCGCGUGAGUGAAGAAGGUUUUCGGAUCGUAAAGCUCUGUUGUAAGAGAAGAACGAGUGUGAGAGUGGAAAGUCACACUGUGACGUAUCUACCAGAA
Molecule: ribosomal RNA, 475 nt
Filed under: Streptococcus sp. oral taxon C08
Lineage: Bacteria; Bacillati; Bacillota; Bacilli; Lactobacillales; Streptococcaceae
Description: bacterial SSU rRNA
Rfam family: Bacterial small subunit ribosomal RNA
Source: RNAcentral